AUCAGUAAUCAUAGCAUAUAUUAUAAAUCUAUAUCCACCAUCAAUAAAUCAAACAAUAAUUGACACUCUUUUUACCAGCCUGGUAUUCAUGGGGGUUCAUAUGGAUGUCUCCGCUACACGUAAACCUUUUCAUUUAACAUUCUCAAUUAUGGGUCGUCCCCAUACCCCGUCUGGUAUGAGCACCAAUUUACCAAACUUCAAUACCCCGUCCGGUAUGAAGGUGAAGCGGGCCGUCCCCACACCCCUUCUGGUAUGAGCACAAAAUUAUCAAGUCCUCCUAUCCUAUCCGAUAUGAGACAACAUUCACGAUAGAGUUUCUUAUGUACCCGAUCCGUCCACCAUCUCCUAGGAUAUCCAGUAAGACUGCCGUUUCAUCUACUCAUUUCAUCACAUAAUUUUUACCGUUUAACCUUUGUUUUUUGCAAUUUAGCAGUAAACACAUAGAAUAAACCAUACAUGUAUUUAAAUCCAUAAAAUCAAUUAAUAAGAUACCAUCAUGCAUAUAAACUGUAAAAAUAAUUAACAAACAACAGUAGAUAAUUCUCAGUUCUUACUCCAUAGCAAUCCGUAAUUAAUUAUGCAUAUUUCCUAAAUUCACAUGAAAUCUCGUAUUAUUAUUUAUUUAGACUUCAAUUCUAUGAUAGAGAAUAGGGUGAGGGAUCCUUACUCGAUUUGAUACCCAAAAAGCUAAGCUGUUCGACUGUGCCUACGGGCGAUUCCUGAGUUCCCUGAAUUUUUUUUCAGAAAUUAAAACGCAUUAAUAG
Molecule: long non-coding RNA, 764 nt
Filed under: Carica papaya (papaya)
Lineage: Eukaryota; Viridiplantae; Streptophyta; Magnoliopsida; Brassicales; Caricaceae
Description: long non-coding RNA (CPAP_LNC001485)
Source: RNAcentral